CCUGAGCCUGACACCCGAUAUAUAAAAUCCUAAAAAAUCUUCUUAGUGGUGUAGCCAGCCACUACUCUUUCUUUACAACCUUUUCUACUGAAACAAGAUAAGAGUCCAAAGCCUUGUGUACCACCAGUAAUCUCUUUCUCUUCUUCCUCUUCUUCGUAGAUGGCAUCAGUUCAUAGUGCCCUGACAUCAGUUGUGUUCAAGAAUGGAAACCAUUCUUCUCCAAAAAAGUUCCCAAGUAGUUCCUUCUUACCUGGAUUUGAUAUUAUGGGGCGUGUUUCAUGUCCACAUAAAAGGGAAAUGUCAGGCCCUAGAGCCACAUUAACCUUUGAUCCCCCAACAACCAAUGAGGGUAAGGACAAACAAAGGAAGCAUACAGUUGAUCCCGCUUCUCCUGAUUUUCUGCCACUUCCAUCCUUUGAACAAUGUUUUCCAAAGAGCACAAAAGAACAAAGGGAAGUUAUCCAUGAACAAACUGGCCAUGUACUUAAAGUUCCAUUUCGACGUGUCCACCUUUCUGGGGAUGAACCUCAUUUUGAUACCUAUGAUACCAGUGGUCUUCAAAACAUUGACCCACGUGUUGGACUCCCUAAAUUACGUAAAGAUUGGAUCAACAAGCGUGAAAAAUUAGGUGCACCUAGAUACACCCAAAUGUACUAUGCUAAGCAGGGAAUCAUAACUGAGGAAAUGUUAUAUUGUGCCACUCGUGAGAAUCUUGACCCUGAGUUUGUGAGGUCAGAAGUUGCUCGUGGGCGGGCAAUCAUCCCAUCCAAUAAGAAGCACUUGGAGCUGGAGCCGAUGAUAGUGGGAAGAAAAUUUUUGGUCAAAGUUAAUGCAAACAUUGGGAACUCUGCUGUUGCAAGCUCCAUUGAAGAGGAAGUUUACAAAGUCCAGUGGGCAACCAUGUGGGGUGCUGACACUGUCAUGGAUCUCUCUACAGGUCGCCAUAUCCAUGAGACUCGUGAAUGGAUUCUCAGGAACUCUGCUGUACCAGUAGGGACUGUACCAAUUUAUCAAGCACUCGAAAAAGUGAAUGGAAUUGCAGAAAAUCUAAACUGGGAAGUGUUCAGAGACACCCUUAUUGAACAAGCUGAGCAGGGUGUCGAUUACUUCACUAUCCAUGCUGGAGUACUACUAAGGUAUAUUCCACUAACAGCAAAGCGCAUGACAGGAAUUGUUUCACGUGGAGGAUCCAUUCAUGCAAAAUGGUGUCUUGCUUAUCACAAAGAGAAUUUUGCUUAUGAGCACUGGGAUGACAUUCUCGACAUCUGUAAUCAGUAUGAUGUGGCCUUGUCAAUUGGUGAUGGGCUGAGACCUGGGUCUAUAUAUGAUGCCAAUGACACUGCUCAAUUCGCAGAGCUUUUAACUCAGGGAGAACUGACUCGCAGAGCAUGGGAAAAGGAUGUACAGGUAAUGAAUGAAGGGCCUGGACAUGUUCCCAUGCAUAAGAUUCCUGAAAACAUGCAGAAACAGCUAGAAUGGUGUAAUGAAGCACCUUUCUACACCCUUGGUCCUUUAACAACAGAUAUCGCUCCUGGAUAUGAUCACAUUACCUCUGCCAUUGGUGCGGCCAACAUAGGUGCUCUGGGCACUGCACUUCUCUGUUAUGUCACUCCCAAAGAACACCUUGGGUUGCCCAAUCGUGAUGAUGUGAAGGCUGGGGUCAUAGCAUAUAAGAUAGCUGCCCAUGCAGCUGAUUUAGCCAAACAACAUCCGUAUGCUCAAGCCUGGGAUGAUGCAUUAAGUAAGGCAAGAUUUGAGUUCCGGUGGAUGGACCAGUUUGCUUUGUCACUGGACCCAAUGACUGCUAUGUCCUUCCAUGAUGAGACCUUGCCAUCGGAUGGUGCUAAGGUAGCUCAUUUCUGCUCCAUGUGUGGGCCAAAAUUCUGCUCUAUGAAGAUAACUGAAGAUGUGAGGAAAUAUGCUGAGGAGCACGGCUAUGGGACUGAGGAAGCUGUGCAGCGAGGAAUGGAUGCUAUGAGUGCUGAGUUUUUGUCUGCUAAGAAAACUAUUAGCGGGGAACAACAUGGUGAGAUUGGUGGAGAAAUCUACUUGCCUGAGAGCUAUGUCAAAUCCGCAGAGAGGUGAAGGAACAUUGAAUGAAAGGAAGCACAUUGACAAGUUUGGACGCUUAAACAGCAUGUUCAGCAGAUCGAGAUCGCGUUAUUGGGGUUGUUUUAAUGUUCGUGCUAUGGGGUGCCUGAGUCUGCUUCGCAAUAGCUAAAUUGGCCAGCGGGGCAGGCAGGUCAGGCUGAGAUAGUCCCUUUGAACCUGAACAGGAUUAUACCUGCGUAGGGAGUGUGCAUGUUAUUUUCCUGUUUUAUUGUACAGGAAGAGAGAGAGACCUGUGAUGUGAUCCAUGGUCCGAGAAACCCGACAACAUAAUGGCCGGAUGAACUGCGUUUAUCUGUGCUUAUGGUAAGGAUUACAUCGUAAUUGAGUGAGUGAUCCUUCUUAUCUUAAUAUGUGCUAUUACAAGCUCUACUAAGCACGAAAAACACUAAAGUACCCUUUCACCGUGGC
Molecule: RNA transcript, 2520 nt
Organism: Cannabis sativa
Lineage: Eukaryota; Viridiplantae; Streptophyta; Magnoliopsida; Rosales; Cannabaceae
Gene name: phosphomethylpyrimidine synthase, chloroplastic
Exons: 7
Source: RefSeq, a predicted model, not a curated record